AAGGAAAUGAAUUUAAACAUUAGAAACAAAAGAUAGAAAACACCUAAGCGCUCCAACGAUCCAAGUUGGACAGCAAGCACGUCCAAGCACUUUCCUUCCCUUCCUUUGCUACGGCACAAAGUGUUGGUGAGUGUUUGAAGGUUUGUUUGUAUGGAGGAAUGGAUGUGAAGAUGAAUGGAUGUGUUUGGGUGAAGGUUGUAUUGAAAUAGGGAUGAAUGAUCUAACCAAGUAUGAACUCCAUUUAUGUUACACACACUUCCUUUUAUAGAGGAAGUGCAAGGCAAAGCAUGGGUAAAAUGGAGUGGUGUUGAAAUGAUUUAAAGGUGAAAGUGAAGUAAUGAUGCAAAGCAUGG
RNAcentral lists this long non-coding RNA (353 nucleotides) under Malus domestica (apple). RNAcentral describes it as "long non-coding RNA (MDOM_LNC020850)". Lineage: Eukaryota; Viridiplantae; Streptophyta; Magnoliopsida; Rosales; Rosaceae. The record is from RNAcentral.